AAAAAGGCAAACCGUGGGUUCCCGUGCCAAUGUUUGAAUGUCCGUCUUAUAUGAAAUUUUUUAUAAUUAGUAUUUUCAUUGUUGUUAGAUGAUAAAAUAUUAUUAAUACUUUAUGCGUGACUUAUUUUUUUAAUUUUUUUCAUAAUUUUUUUAAAUAAGACGGACAGUCAAAUGUUGGACACGGAGGGAGUAAGAAUCAAUUAAU
Non-coding RNA from Oryza glumipatula, 205 nucleotides. The record is from Rfam. Lineage: Eukaryota; Viridiplantae; Streptophyta; Magnoliopsida; Poales; Poaceae.